GGGGUAAUAGCUCAUUUGGUAGAGCGUAUGCUUAGCAUGCAUGAGGCGCUGAGAUCGAAGCUCGGUUGCUCCA
Transfer RNA from Paramecium tetraurelia, 73 nucleotides. It matches the Rfam family "tRNA". Rfam says of the family: Transfer RNA (tRNA) molecules are approximately 80 nucleotides in length. Their secondary structure includes four short double-helical elements and three loops (D, anti-codon, and T loops). NCBI's taxonomy places the organism in Eukaryota, Ciliophora, Oligohymenophorea, Peniculida, Parameciidae. The record is from Rfam.